AGGCAACCUCCUUGUGACAACAAUGAUGGUGUUAACCUGCUCAUAAAUUAAUGCAUCUUUUGCUCUUCAGAUUUGUUGAGCAAAAGAAUGCACAGUAAGCUCUUGUUGUGUGCUCGAGCUGCUU
This is a small nucleolar RNA of Malania oleifera, 124 nucleotides long. RefSeq annotates it as small nucleolar RNA snoR77. The record is from RefSeq and is a predicted model, not a curated record. The transcript has a single exon. Lineage: Eukaryota; Viridiplantae; Streptophyta; Magnoliopsida; Santalales; Ximeniaceae.